UACGUAGGUGGCAAGCGUUGUCCGGAUUUACUGGGCGUAAAGGGCGUGCAGGCGGUUUGUUAAGUGCAGGGUGAAAGCUCCCGGCUCAACUGGGAGAGGUCCUUGCAUACUGGCAAACUCGAGGGAGGCAGAGGAAAGUGGAAUUCCCGGUGUAGUGGUGAUAUGCGUAGAUAUCGGGAGGAACACCUGUGGCGAAGGCGGGUCUCUGGGCAGUAACUGACACUGAGGAGCGAAAGCGUGGGGAGCGAACAGG
This 253-nucleotide ribosomal RNA is filed under the name uncultured bacterium. Its description in RNAcentral is "partial 16S ribosomal RNA". It matches the Rfam family "Bacterial small subunit ribosomal RNA", at positions 524 to 776 of the family's 1533-position model. The record is from RNAcentral.